Molecule: transfer RNA, 106 nt
Filed under: Thermosphaera aggregans DSM 11486
Lineage: Archaea; Thermoproteati; Thermoproteota; Thermoprotei; Desulfurococcales; Desulfurococcaceae
Rfam family: tRNA
About the family: Transfer RNA (tRNA) molecules are approximately 80 nucleotides in length.
Source: Rfam by way of RNAcentral
GGGGCCGUAGUCUAGCCUGGCUAGGAUGCCGGCCUGGGGUGAUUACCCCGCUGGCCAGGUAAGCCCGGAGCGCCGGUGAUCCCGGGUUCAAAUCCCGGCGGCCCCA